UGGGUAACCUGGAUAAGCUCCUUUACCAAAAGCACCUGUACAAGCUGAAACGGCUUCUAACGGCGCACUAGCUGGUCCUUGAUAAUAACCGUUAUUAAAAGGAUUUGUAACGGUUCCAGCUAAAACCGAAGCCAAAUUAAUAACCAUACCGUCAACUCCAACAUCACCGUUAGGUGCAACUAAUGGUGGUGUUUGUGGACCAUAAAUCGGUUGAUGAAAUGGCCAAGCACAUUGACCAGGACAUUGACUCACUGAGUUACCAACCCAAGCAUAAGCAAACUUUGACCUUUUAGUAAUACCUAUAGCUGAACCAUGUGUUCCACACUUCAUACAAAACCCAUCAACAAAAACAUCUUUUGCUGUUAAAACAACAUUGAUUGAGUUUUUCACACCAGUUUUUGCAGCUAAGGAAAUGAUUUGAGAAAUUUUGAGAGAUUUUCCAAGGGAAUAGUUUUCAUCUAGAAUUUGUUUUCCAAGAACAAGGUUAGAAGAACCAGCUUUGUACUUUUCAGUAAUUUUCCACCAAGUGGAAACAGAAGGUGCAGAGGUUUUUUUGACAGAGUUUAAAGAUUGGAUGAAAUCAAUGAUUAUUGACCGUUGGAUUGGAGUGAACUUUCCAUACCAAAUGAGAUUUACAGUGAAAUCUCCUUUCAGUAGUACACCAUUAUGGUAUUGAAGAACUAAAGGUUGUUCUUUAACUAGCUCUGCUUUUGAUGAAUGUAUGAAAAAGAGCAAGAAGAUGGCACAAUAGUAAAUUGAAGCCAUUAAAAGGGUAACUGUGGAAAACUGUUGUACUAGAGAGAGAGAGAGAUCAGAGAAGAGAGAGUUUGAGACGUUGAGUUGAAGCUUUGGGUUUAAGGGAGGUUUUAUACUAGAAAAGAAACGAGUAGAUAUGAGUGAACACAGCUGUAUAGUAGGAAAUGUCAACAUCAAAUGACGCCACGUGGUUUUGACUGAUUGGACUUAGUAUUACACUAAAGAAGAGAACUUUGCCAGGCUGUGUUUUCUAGGGUGACGUGUUGUUCAAGCUAAGACUUCUGUCUGACGUGGAUCAGGUAAUUGAUUUCGACGUGCGUGUCAAAGAACCUACUAGGCUACCGCUUAAACAUAGACCAUAGAGUAAUUCCACUGUACUUCCUGACCUACAUAGCUUAAUAUGUAACUUUUAAUCCUGACCAUAAGAUGACGUAUUUGAGUGAUAUGAUUCUAUUUUAUUGUAAAGAAUUAAUGGUACAGAAUAUGAUGUGGUGUAGACCUGGGUCCACCUAUAAAAAUGACGUGGAUGGAGAAGAGUUCAGGGGUUGGAAUAUCGAGGGUAGUGCAUCAGACUUUUUGUUUAAUUUAAUUGACUUUAUUGGCGCAUGAUCAGUGCCAUUAGAUUAGAUUACUAUUUAUAAAAGUACCUUUGCAUCAAUUUAGUGACACUUACGUCACUUAAGAUUAUGACAACAAACAAAUUCAUAUGUAUUCAAUUUGAUGGCAUAAUCGUAAACAUGAGUACCAUAAUGGGACGGUGGGACUUGGGGAGGGGGAACUGGUGGUGGCGGUGAACGUGGCGGCAGUAGUGGACGAAGUGGUGGUUGACUGGUUGUUGUGGUGGUGGAACUUAGAAUCAUAAGUUGAAAAUUUCUCAAAACGGACACUAGAUUCGAGUUGAAAAGGUGGGCGGUGGAGUUGCUCCACGUGAGCAUUGUUGUUCACGUGGAAUUUAGAAACAAUUUCAAGGGCCAAGGUGGUGGAAUAGAGUGAAGGAGAAUGAAGACAAGAGGUAGGAUAAAGAAGGAAAGGAAACUAGACAAAGAAACAACAGUGCUCUCUAAUCUGCUUCACUGCAUGCAGAUUGACAGAAAGGACAGAGGUGAUGGUACUAGUAAAUAGUGAAAGUAGUACUAUAUGUACGUGUUGAGAAGAGCGUUGGUUUAGUGGGGUUAACUUGCUGCGCGCGAGUUCGCUUUGAUUUGAACAAAAUUGUUGGAUAAGUUUCAAUGGAUCACGUAUGUUAUGAUUGUACUAUUAAUAAGGUUAACGGUUUGGUGCUUUGCAGACUAGUUAGCUUAAUUCAACGGAAGGGUUGGGAUUAGAUACGACACGCAAAAGAUUUAAGUUAGGCACUAUGUAUAAACGUAUAAUUUGGUAACACCCUACUCACAAAACGGAGGUUCAAAACACAUUAACUGUUGAUUGUUGAUAUGAAUUUCUACAUGUAUUUUAAAGAGGUAGGGUCCUUUUAACCCGCGUGUCAGCGUGUCAAUCGAAAAUAAUAAAUUGUAUAAUUUGUCGUUUGGAGCAUAUGAAACAACAAUAAUAUUUACAAUGUGAUUUAUGAAUACAAAUCCUUAUUUGUUUUUUUCCUUGGUUGGCAAGCCUAGGCAACUCUUUAGGGUUUUUUUUACCAAAUUAAAUGGAUGUACAUAUUUCAUUACUAAUCCAAUGUUCGAGAUGAACAACGCCAUCAUCACUUAUAGGUUUUACCAGCUAAGUUCAGCUGGCAGCCGCAAAAAUCAAGAAUUUAAGUUUCUUUCAAGUACCGUUAGGGAGUAAUUAGAAUUGGUCGUACGUAUAGUUAUGGUAUUGACAUUGAUACAUGCACGAACGCUAGCUCCUUGUACAUAUCAUUGGCCACGGUAGUAAUGAAGGUGGUGGAGGGUUGCCUUCAUUCCUAACAAGAUUAUUUGGUAUUAUAUUGACAAAGAUUGUAGUUAGCCAGAAGGUAUAAAACCAAUAAUUGAUCAAGUAGAGGCCCGGGGCCGGGCCAAUUUGAUUGAUUUGAAGUUAAGUUUUUUAACUUUGAAGGAUAUUUGUGCUUCACAACUUUAUACGUCUCAGUCCCAAUUAAAUGAUCUUUGACUUCUGCUAUUGGCCUGUUUGGAAUUAUAACAAUGAUUUGCCUACUAAAACCAAAUACUAUUCAAAACCUCCAUGCCUGUGGCUGUGAGUACAGCUAAUUGCAUGGUCUAACUGUGCUGAAAACGAAGUCUCAACAACAGUUCUCAUACUUUCAUGUCACUCUUUAACAAAGUUGUUUUAACCUAACACUUUUAGAACCAACACUUUCUUCUUGUAUCGACUUUGGCCGACUUGUCGUAUAUAUAUUCGAUUAAGAUUAUGGCCAUAUGAUAUGCCCAUAUUCUUCACAAGGCCGCCAAUAGAUAUUUGUACCUACUUUCAACAUUUGAACUCUAUAUUGAUGAAGAGGCCAAGAAAAUACCACAGUGGGGCUCCAAGCCAAUGUUCUAUUGAUUAUUGAACCUUCACAAAAAUGUCAGAUUACUGAUGAGAUAAGAUCAUAAAUACACUGUGCUGGAGCUAGCCUAAAGACUAAAGAGUAUAAUUUAUUAGGGGUGGGCACGGUUCGGUUCGGUUCGGUUUUGGACAAAACUGUCAACCGAACACCUAGCAGGUGUUUUGCAAAAGUCUAAACCGAAACCGAACUUUUUUAUUUUUAAAACCGAACCGAACCGAACCGAAUACUUUUAACUAAAACCGAAACCGAACCGAACAUAUAAUUAAGUUCGGUUAACCGAAUAAAACCGAACCAAACCGAAAAACUGAUAUAUUUGAAAAAUCUGAAAAUCUGAAAAUCUGAAAUUGCCCAUUCAGUCAUAUUACAUCUGUUCACUGUUGGAUACUUGGAUAUUGGGCUGGACUCCUGGACAGAUGGGAUGGGUUGGACUAUGGAGAGAUGGGCUGUAGUGGGUUGUAUACAAAAUACAUGUUCGGUUCGAUUUUGGGUGUUCGGAAAUUUUUGAAACUACAACCGAACACCCAAAGCAGGUGUUUUGCCAAAUUAGAAACUGCAACCGAACAUGAAAACAUGUAAACACCCUAUUUUCGGUUCGGUUCGGAUCGGUUCGGUUCGGUUCGGUUUACAUGUUUCGGAUCGGUUUUGCCCACCCCUAUAAUUUAUAGAGAAAUUUUAAGUGUUUUUUUUUCAACAAAUUUUGGGCUAGUUGCUAAUAGAAUAAUAGAACUGGGUUUGAAAAACGAGUUUGAGUCUUUGAGGCUUUAGGUUUGGAAGUCAAUUGUAGUAAAAAAUACUUUACAGCUUUUCUCUUUCUUUAGGAUUGUUUAACAUAUCACUUGAUUGGUUUAGAUGCUUCAUAGAAGCACUCUAAUUAUCAAUUUAUCAUGAUUUUGACCAGAACACAAAAUCACUUGAUUUGUUUCAUCCAUAGUUCCAUACAAAAAGUGGAAGAGUAACAACCAAGAAAGGUUUGAAUAACAAGCAAAAUGCCACAUUGCUAUACACAUAGCCAGUGUGGUCGGUAGAGUGGAUGGUGGAUAGCUCCUUCCAUUUGCACAACUGUGUUACGCGUUAGUUUCACUCAAUGUGUCUUCUACCAGGUUGUUUGGGACUUUGGGUAUUUAGGAAAGUGCAAAAACCACUUUCGGUUUGACAUCACUUAAUAUACCUAGAAAUUUAUAGCAGAAUGUAACAUACUGUAACAGUGUAAUUCAGAUUGAAUGCUGUCAUGCUCUCCACAAACCCAUAAGAUAAAGAAUAGCCAUAAGACCUAAACAAAUUUCUGUUACACAACUAUCAUAUUAAGGUGACAUAAAUCAUUUAAAUUUUGAGGAAUGUUUGAUUAGACCGAAAUUGAAUCGGAACCAAUUUUGAACGUUUGUCUAAUCAUGGAACCCUGGCAAUUAAUUAUUAACCUCAACACAAGUAUAGAUAUAAGGUUCCUUAUAUGGACCAGUGGUUAAGUUGGGACAUAUAACACAUUGGUCGCUGACUCCCUGUAUUGCUGCCAUGUAAGUUUUUGACCGCUAUAUUUCUCAAGUCUCAACGUCAAAAUGCCGAAAUGCCUAAUGAUAAUAUUAUUUGUAUUAUAAGCCAGGAUUGAUGAGAACAUCCAAGAAUAACAUUGCCAAUGGCGCAGAAAUAUUGUUUUUCACCAAAAUUUGCGACAAAAUAUCCAUGUUUGGAGUCUGGAGAUCACAAGAAGAACCAAAUUUAGAAAGGCAAGGACCACAGUUUAUAAUUCCAAACAUUAAGGACCAAUAUCAAAAUUUAAUUCAUUGUUUGAUCUGUGCUGCUUAAAGAUUAAUUUGAAAAUGUAGUAGCUCAGCCUUCAAAUAAAUACAGAACAGCCUGCAGUCCUGCACCUAUGUGCAUUGAGUGUUAUUUUAUCUGUAGCUUGUAGGUGUAAUUGCUGAUUGCGAUGGUAGAUGACCAAAAUUGAAUGCACCAUUGCAAUUCAAAGUUUCAAACAAUUGGAAAGAUUAAAGUUUAAAGUCAAUGAACAAUGGAUUAAGCAUAAUCACAAAUGAUAUAAAAGCAAACCAAAGAAAUUUGCUACUUCAUUAUUAUUAUUAUUAUAAAAAGAAUGAAUAAAUUUGAGUAUACAUACUAUUUUCUCUCACAUUUUCUUAUCUAUCAUAUAAUCUCACUUCUAAGUUCUAAACCAAAGUGGAACAAGCAGAUAUGGAGGGAUCAAACAUAGCAGGCAGCAAGUACUUCCUGCCAUUAGCACCAUGUGCAUUGUAGCUAGCACCUGUAGUUGAAUCCAGUAAAAGGUCCCCAGCAUAACCAGGGUAAGCACCCUUUCCAUAAACACCCGGACAAGCUGAUGAGGCUUCAAGUGGUGCUUCUGCAGGUCCUUGAAAAUACCCAUUUCCAAAUGGAUUGGUAGCUGUUCCAGCUAAAAGACUAGCCAAAUUAAUAACCAUUCCAUCUAGACCAACAUCAUUGUUAGGUGCAACCAAUGGUGCACUUUGUGGUCCAUAAAUUGGUUGAUGAAAUGGCCAAGCACAUUGACCAGGACAUUGAACUUCAGAAUUUCCAACCCAGAUGUAAGCAAAUUUGUAACUUUUUCCUUUCAAAUGUGCAAUUUUAGAUGUAGAUGUUGAUGAACCAUGUGUUCCACAUCUACUUGAACAAAACCCAUCAACAAUAACAUCAGAAGCUGUCAGUACAACAUUGAUAGCAUUCAUUUGAUCACCUUUUGCUGCUAAUUUAACCAGUUGUUGACUAGUUAAUGAUUUCCCCAAUGAGUAAUUUUCAUCAAGAAUUUGUUUCCCUAUUGUAAGAUGAAGAGUAGAUUGUUUCUUAGAAGUAAGGUGAUAAUACUUUUCAGUAGUUUUCCACCAUGAUGAAACUGAAGGUGUUGUUGUUUGAGUAGUUUUUGAAGGAUAUAGAGAUUGAACAAAAUCAGAGAUAGUAGCUCUUUGGGAAGGCUUAAAUUUUCCAUACCAGAUUAGAUUGAUGGAAAUUUUACCAGAAAGAAGUGGACCUUUAUGAUAUUUCAAAAGGGUAGGUUGAUCUUCAACUAAUUCAGUGAGUUUUCUUCCAGCUAAAGAGACAUGAAAGAGUGAAACUAGAACAAGAAUUUGUAGAAAAAGAGCAGAAAUUGAAGAAAAUGCCAUUUUAACGAGAGAUCAAGAGAAAGGGUCGUAAAAAACAAUGAAAUUGUUUGUUUGUUUGUUGUUGUUGUGGUGUGUUUGAGAAUGUAGAGAAAGAGUGAUUUAUAUAGGAGGUGAAGAGUGAAGAUGUGGUGAAGCGUUAUGUUCAGCAAAGGAAACGAGUGAGAACCAACGCUACUACUUCCAACGCGUCUGUUUUAAUGAUUUUUUUUUUCUUUCUCUUUUGCUGUUAACAGCUAACAUAUUGUUUGCCAAAUACCAAUUGGAUUAACAACUUUUUUGCAAUUCACUCAAAUUUUCUUUGGUUUUUAGUCUAAAAAAUUACAUAAGUACAAAUCGACCCAGCUGCCCAGAUGUGGGCAGUUGAGCACCAAACAGUGUAUUGUUGUGAUUAUGUCAUCUGUCCCAAACAGGGAUCCAGGAUUUAAUUUUGGGUUGGACUUAGAUACAGUAAUCCAAAAUGGGUAGGGCUUGUGUACAAUAAUCUAUGAAAUUUUUUUGCGGUGGUGGGUUUGGGUAUAAAUAAAAGUACUAAUUUUUUAAAAUUUCACCUCGGGCUUCAGCCCGAUCAAGCCAACCUGUAGAUCCGUCCCUGGUCCCAAAGUGAAAUUUAUAGGUUAUUGUUGAACGGGCCCUAGGUCCUGGUCUAUAAGGCAUUGCACUAGAAGUGAAAACAAGGUUGCUCACUCAUUGGCAGGAGUGCGAAUUUUUUCCCGCACUCUUUAGGAGUGCGGAACAAUACUUUCCUCCAGAUUUUGCCACGUGGCUAUAUAAAAAAAUAAAAAAUUUUGAUUUUUUUUAAUAUUAAGUAAGAUUAAUUAAAAAACUAAAACACUAAGAUGGGUGUUGUUAACCUAGUGGGACUAGUUAAAUUUAAAAAAAAAAAAAUAUUAGUAGUACGUGGCAAAAUCUGGUGGAGAGUGUGGAACAAAUUCAACUCCUACAAUUUGGGCAAAACUUUCUGGUCAUGCUUAACUCUGGUUUCAUUCUGUUGAACUGUUAUCUUCUUUGUUAGCUAAUGAAAUUAGAGAUAAUUAGCGUUUGCCCCUCUUUUUUCAAAUUGUUUCCUGACCACCUCUCUUUUUAGCAUUUUUUUUACUAUAUUUUCUAUUUUACCCUUAAGCAUGUGUUCCAUAUUUGCCCCUCCCUUCUCAAAACCACACUAUUAUGUUGAGUCAGCAACCCAUAGUGGUUUCAUUACAAACCGUAGAUCUAAAACAACUACAAAUCAACGGCUAAGAUCUAAUCCAAUCUAAAUAUUUAAUUUCCCAAAAUUCAAAAAUCAAACCAACCAUUAGUUGCCACCUGGAUAUAACCGUUGCAACUCUUUUCUUCUUUAAAACCCUUUUUCCUCCCGAAUUCUACAUCUUUCUUAAUAGAGAAACCCUUCUUCCUCCUAAAUUUUUCACUUCUCUCUUUACUUCUUCUUUCCAAGCACUUUACUUAUCCUCUAACCUUAUAUCUUUUCACUUCACUUCUCUCUAGAAUACUUCAUCGAUCUACUUCACUGAAUAUGACGGUAUGUUCUAUUCUCUGCAAAAUGGGGCUAUCCCUAAACAAUUUUCUCUUCUAUGGGGUAUUCUUAAAACAAUGUGUUCUAUUUUUUGUACACGUUCAUUGUCAAAUGUGUAAGGUUAAGGGAUAUGAAGCUGAUAUGUGUAUGUGGGUGUUAAACUAGGGUUUAGUUGAGGAAGAAGUACAAUCCUUUUUAUGUGAAUUGGUGAAGUUAAACUACUUUACACAUGAUUUGAACAAUAGAUUUGCAUUUAGAUGGGCAUCGAGAUAGGCAUUAGAUUGGAUUAGAUCUUAGUCGUUGAUCUGUAGUUGUUUUACAUCUACGGUUUGUAAUAAAACCACUAUGGGUUGCUGACUCAGCAUAAUAGUGUGGUUUUGAAAAAAUAGGAGCAAACAUGAAACACAUCCUUAAGGGUAAAAUAGGAAAUAUAUUAGAAAUGAACUAAAAAGAGGGGUGGUCACGAAACAAUUUGAAAAAGAGGGGCAGUCGCAACCUUCAAUUUUAAAAAGAGGGGCAAUCGCUAAUUAUCUCAUGAAAUUACUAUUGCCUAAUAUAAGCAUGAACUUAUCAAAAAAAUAAAAAAUAAAAUAUAUAUAUAUAUAUAUAUAUAUAUAUAUAUAUAAUGUUUUUUUAUUUCAAUUGAUUUAUCACUUAGUUAAAAUCAAUAUAUUUAAACUAAAAAUAUUAGUUUUUUUUAUUGGGUUGCCCAUAAAUUAAAAUUCAACCAAUUUAUGUUAAAUUAUAAUAAAAGUAUAAAACCAUUAAAGGUGUUAUAUCAAUUUACGAUAAAACCAUAGUUCCAAGGGUAUUUUAGUCAGGUUGUUGGUAUAAAAAUUUAAAAUUAAAUUCUUAACGACUCAUAAUUGCCCUUGAAUUUUAUUGAGAGUUAUAAUAGGAGAAUAUAUCACAUUCUCACCCAAUUAUAUCAUAGUACACAAGGAUCAUACAUCAGCCAUGACAAGCAUACUCACACACUGGUUUAGCAAUGUAAUACUUAUUAUUGAGUUGACAGUACCAACAAUCAACUAUAGUUGGUCCAGACAUACAAGAUCGUUUUAAACAUGGUCUAAUAUAGAUUUUUGCGCUUGUCAUAGGUAUCGUCUUUGCUUCGCUUUGAUCUUUGAUGUCCAGAUUUUCUUGACCUGUAUAUCCAAAUGAGAUGUGAAAAAUAUAUCAUCUCAUUGACAAAGAGAAGUUUACUGCAUAUACCACUUUGAUCUAGACUUUAGUGCAUGUGUAGUUACUUGGGUACGAAACUCCGAAUUAAUUAUCUACUAAAAUACUUAACUACACCGAUAAAGAGUUUACUCUUUUUUUUUUUUCUUGCUAAGUAGUCGAUUAAAGUUUACUAUUCAAAUGUGAUAUUUGCAAUAAAGAAAAUAAAAAAAGAUGAUCCUCAAAUAAAGAGAAAAAAGGAAAAAGACAUUUGCAAAUAAGUAUACCUAAACAUGAGUCUCUAAUUAAACAUACCUUCCUGUAGAGCUGAGAUGUCAACAAUAACAAUCAGAAACAUAAAUAAAAUUAUAGAUAGCUUGGUAGAUGCCAUUGAUAUAAAGUUAUAAACAACAUACUAAGGAGAGUAAAAAGACUACUGUAUUUAUAAUCUCAAAAAUUGUAAUAAGAUUUCAUUUCAUUUAAUUUUGAAAUCUUUACAAAAUCUUAUUAAUUUUAAAUAAUAUCAAUUAACUUUUCAAUAAAAUAUAUUUUAUUUUCUAAACAAAAUUCCCUCACAAAUCUUCAUUAUGUUCCUAGGAAUCUAACUUUCUGUGGAUUGAUAACUAUAAAAUCAGGCCUACAUAUUAUUUUGGCACUUGGGGGGCAAGGAAGGCCUAAACCGCUAGAUACCCAGGAGGCUCUUUGAAGUUCCAACUGGUCAGUUGGAAUGGGAUUUGGUGUUACAUGAGUUUCUGUAUUGCACGUCGUAUGAUUCAGUGAAAUUUCAUUAAAGUCAUAUUUUUCAAAUAUGAUCAAAAAAAGUUACUAAACAAUAAAAAAAAACACUCAAAAAGCACAAUUAUUUGUAAUGCAAACUUGGAAAAUUUUAAUAUGAAAGCAAACCAAAGAAAUUUGCAAUUUCAUUAAAAGAAUGAAUCAAUUGUCUUUUCUCUAAUAAAUAGUUACUAGUACUACUUGUAAUACAAUAUAAUGUCUCUAAAGUUUCUGUAUCUAUACCAAAGUGGAACAAGAAGAUGUGGAUGGAUCAAACAUAGCAGGCAACAAGUACUUCCUUCCAUUAGCACCAUGUGCAUUAUAACUAGCACCAGUAACUGAGUCCACUAAAAGGUCUCCAGCAUAACCAGGAUAAGCACCCUUUGCAUAAACACCAGGACAAGCUGAUGAAGCUUCAAGUGGUGCUUCUGCAGGUCCUUGAAAAUACCCAUUUCCAAAUGGAUUGGUAGCUGUUCCAGCUAAAAGACUAGCCAAAUUAAUAACCAUUCCAUCUAGACCAACAUCAUUGUUAGGUGCAACCAAUGGUGCACUUUGUGGUCCAUAAAUUGGUUGAUGAAAUGGCCAAGCACAUUGACCAGGACAUUGAAC
RNAcentral lists this long non-coding RNA (10420 nucleotides) under Aquilegia coerulea. Its description in RNAcentral is "long non-coding RNA (ACOE_LNC000880)". Lineage: Eukaryota; Viridiplantae; Streptophyta; Magnoliopsida; Ranunculales; Ranunculaceae. The record is from RNAcentral.